CCUACGGGUGGCUGCAGUGGUGAAUAUUGGACAAUGGGGGGAACCCUGAUCCAGCCAUGCCGCGUGUGUGAAGAAGACCCUCGGGUUGUAAAGCACUUUCAGUGAGGAAGAACGCCUGGUGGUUAAUACCCAUCAGGAAAGACAUCACUCACAGAAGAAGCACCGGCUAACUCCGUGCCAGCAGCCGCGGUAAUACGGAGGGUGCGAGCGUUAAUCGGAAUUACUGGGCGUAAAGCGCGCGUAGGUGGCUUGAUAAGCCGGUUGUGAAAGCCCCGGGCUCAACCUGGGAACGGCAUCCGGAACUGUCAAGCUAGAGUGCAGGAGAGGAAGGUAGAAUUCCCGGUGUAGCGGUGAAAUGCGUAGAGAUCGGGAGGAAUACCAGUGGCGAAGGCGGCCUUCUGGACUGACACUGACACUGAGGUGCGAAAGCGUGGGUAGCAAACAGGAUUAGAUACCCCAGUAGUC
This 465-nucleotide ribosomal RNA is filed under the name Vreelandella stevensii. RNAcentral describes it as "partial 16S ribosomal RNA". It matches the Rfam family "Bacterial small subunit ribosomal RNA", at positions 338 to 795 of the family's 1533-position model. Lineage: Bacteria; Pseudomonadati; Pseudomonadota; Gammaproteobacteria; Oceanospirillales; Halomonadaceae. The record is from RNAcentral.